CGGCCCCCAAGGCCUGCCGGGCCCGCCCGGGGCGCCCGGCCUGAAUGCGGCCGGGGCCAUCAGUGCCGCCACCUACAGCACGGUGCCCAAGAUCGCCUUCUAUGCCGGCCUCAAGCGGCAGCAUGAAGGCUACGAGGUGCUCAAGUUCGACGACGUGGUCACCAACCUCGGUAACCACUACGAUCCCACCACGGGCAAGUUCACCUGCUCUAUCCCGGGCAUCUACUUCUUCACCUACCACAUCCUCAUGCGCGGAGGGGACGGCACCAGCAUGUGGGCUGAUCUCUGCAAAAACAACCAGGUGCGAGCUAGCGCCAUUGCCCAAGACGCGGAUCAGAAUUACGACUAUGCCAGUAACAGUGUCGUUCUUCACUUGGAGCCAGGAGACGAAGUCUACAUCAAAUUAGAUGGCGGGAAAGCCCACGGAGGAAAUAACAACAAAUACAGCACAUUUUCUGGAUUUAUUAUUUACGCUGACUGAUAACGCAGAAACUAAGCUUGCUGUUCUGAGUUUGGACACUGGAUUCGUGUGGCUAACGUCAGUGAAUCAAGGAUCCCAGGGGAUGCCGGUUGCGGGGCACCUCAGUUGUGUAUAUGUGGGGAAUUCAAAUGCUACCUGACUCACAUCUGUAUACUCAGAAACAUUAUGUAAAAAAAAAAAAAAUUAAAAGCAAGAUAAGCAGAUGUGUUAUCCACUACCGCCAAAGCAAAUACUCCUCCUUAUCGUUAGUGUCCAUGUGAAUGAAGUCCUAUAUAGAUCACAAAUUUUUAUAGAGAAAUCUAAGACGCUGAAUUAUUUCUCCAAUAUAUAUGAUACUUUGGUGUACUGUGAUCUUGCUGCUUUUAUCCAUAUGUCAGCUUUGGUUCUCGUGAGUUUACCUGCUUAUUAUGAUACGUGGAGUCCAUUCAUAGUGUGGGGAGAAUAAUUUUACCCUGCAGGAGAAGGUCUGAUUGAAAUAAUGCUGCUUGUCCCCAAAGAAAUUGUUUGCCUUGUACUUUUGUUAACUUUAGAGCUAGUCCUGGGAAUGAUUCAACUUCAAGCCUUAACCUGGAAUUUUCUGGAUUUGAGGGAAUUCCCAAGCCUAUGAUCAUUUUCACAUUUUCUUUUUCUUGCGAGUUUUCUUUUCUCUCUUUUCUGGUGAUAGUCUUUAAAAAUAGAGAUCGAAAUUGUAUCAUAGGAUUACCCUCUAAGUGUGAAAAUGUGUAAUUAUGUAUGGUAUUUAGAAAAUCCCCUGUGUGUCCAUUUUGUCAAUAGAAUGCGUUUAGAUUUACUUAGAAAGUCAGAGAAAUUUAUUCUUUGGUGUUAAAUCAGACUGAGGCUUUUGCCUUCUUUGGAACAAAGAUUAUUCAUAGCCCAAUGCACAAUGGUUUAAUUUGAGCUACUGCAUGAGUCAUCAAGGGGACACUAAGUAAGGCCUUCAAAUAGUUACUACAAGUCGUGGCCUGAGGUUAUUUCAAAAUGAACAAUUUCACAUAUAACCAAUAAGACAACAAAGUGUAUAUAUUUUAUACAAAUACCUGCUACAUAUACAUGUAUUUGUGUGUGCAUACACACACACACACACACACACACACGUUAGAUCAAAAAUAAUAUAUUCAUGGCUUCAAACCAUAGGCACAGUGGCUGUAUAGCCUCAAAAAUUUAAUUUAAAAAAAGUAUGUGUCUGUAUAAACACAAACAUGCAUAAAUUAUUUGACUUAUUUUGGAUCGAAAUAUAUUUUGGAUUACAAAAGUAUAUGGACUAGCAAAAUAAUUUAAACGACUUCUCUUUUAAGAGUUACCCAGAAAAUUAAAUUUUAUUAGGUUAAAAUGCCCUCUACAUCACAUGUCUGUAAAUUAAGCCUAUGGUUUCUUUAUUACCAUAUCCCAGUCAAUACUUCCACUGCGUUCUGUGGCAGACUGUUACCACUAGGACUGCAGAAACAAAGUGGCUCUCUUUUGCAAUGUUUAUGAAUUAUAUGCGUUUGAAUUAUCCCUUUUUUUUCUGUUUUCUCAGGCGGAUUAAAGCUGACAGUAAAGUAGAUGCUGAGAGCAGUGCAAAUCAUUUCUCUCUGGUUAAAACACACUGCCAAAGCCAUCUCUUUAAUCUGAGAAAAGAAUUAAAAAUGCAUGUGGAUAUAUCCUAACUAUCAGACAACUUCCACUAUUACAAUGAAAAAUCUGUUCCCCUUCUCAGUUGCCUUUGAAGACUCUUUGAACAAGUAGAUUCGAAAAACAGGGAUUUAAAAAUCUGCUUGUUUUACUGGUGAAGGACAUUUGGAUUUUUUCAUUUAAAGGAAUUAGUUUGUUCUCCUGGCUUGUUCGUCUUGGGUACUUUCUGUUCUGACACACAGAAAACUUGAUCAUCUUUGAUCCACAGAAAUAUCUUGUAUUUAGAAAACCUCAACUUUCCGAAAGAGUUACGCACGGUGUUCCCAUCUGAAGGUGCUGUUGGCUUGGUUUAAAUGCCUUGGUCUGAGUUACUGUCAUGAUUUUUAUGAUUAAAAACACUUAGCCCAUUCAUCAAGAAUAGUGACUAAUUCUGUUUGGCCUUUCUAAUAUGUUGGAUAACUCAUAGAGGAGUUGCAAUGGAUUUAUAUCUGUUUAAACAAUAUAUAUUUAUCAAAGAGGGAUUGGGAGCAAGGGUUUAGAGAUUUGGGGGGGGGGGGUAACAAAGAGCAUAAUGAGGAAUCAACCAAAAGAUUAAUUUGUAAACAGCAGUGCACGUCUUCUGUAGGUUUUAAAAAGGCUUUAUUUACACCAAACAUCAGGGCUGGGUACCUUUUGAAGAGUAGGCUGUGGAAUCAGAAUGUCAUUUCUAAUAGAGCUGACCUUUUCUUCGGAUAACUAAGCAUUAUUUUCUCUGUUUAGACCCAAGGAAAAAAACAAAUAAAAGGUAAAGGAAAUGAAGGGAAUAUAUAUGA
Ursus maritimus (polar bear) is the source of this 2904-nucleotide long non-coding RNA. Ensembl annotates it as complement C1q like 3. NCBI's taxonomy places the organism in Eukaryota, Metazoa, Chordata, Mammalia, Carnivora, Ursidae. The record is from Ensembl.